Non-coding RNA from Pocillopora verrucosa, 570 nucleotides. Lineage: Eukaryota; Metazoa; Cnidaria; Anthozoa; Scleractinia; Pocilloporidae. The record is from RefSeq and is a predicted model, not a curated record.
UUAUGACUAAAGAUGGCGGAGAAGUUGUUUGAUUCCACGAUGUGAAGGACGAGAAUGCAGCCGAACGUCAAGGGAAAUCUGCUUUCAGGUAGAAUGAAAGACUAAAAGAGAAAAUCCUUUCGCAAUGGUUGGAUUGAUGUCCUUUGGAAUUUCCAUUACAUUGGUGUAAGACACAGCCUUUAUUGACUCAGAGAGAAUUUCACAGUUUUUCAUCACUCAUGGCCGUAUGGAGUUUUGCUUUUAGAUUACCAAGGUCAUGCAGUUUGACAUGAGCACACGAGGACCUGCACCCGCAAGUCUGAGUACCUGCGUUGCUGGGAUGAUAUGGUCCUACAGUUGUUGUGGCCAUGAUUUAAGUCUACGUUUCGUCUUUUGUUCCGCAAAGAAAAAAAAAGAGCUUUUGUCCUUGCUAAGAGACAAAAAAACAGCGGAAAGAUACAAGUUCCUUACAAUCUCACUGGGGGUGCCUCUUUCAACGAUAAACCGAAAAACAACGAAAAUAAAAUUUAUACACUCAACCAUUAUCUUUAAAAUGUUUGAACAAAGCGCCUUUCGAAUAUUAAAAUUCCG